AGGAAAGGAGGAAAGGAAGAAAGAAAAUAGAGGACAGGAACGAGAGGUGGAGGAGGGAUCUUGCUUACGGAAGAAUCCCAUUUCUGACUGCUCAAUGCUGAGAGUCUUGGACUCAGGAAAUCGUCCAUUUGCAAGACCUCCAAAGCAAGAACCGUCAGUGGACGCCCAGCCUCGGAGGAAGUUUUGGCCAUUUUAAGGAUUGUGUUCUUAAGAGAGUUCUGGAACCACUGGAGGCUUUGAGGCGAAGGGGAGACGUUAAAUGAUCAUUCUGGCUGCACAGUGAAUGGGUUUUGCAGUCCAAGGACAGAGUGGCCACACUGCUCAGCUCGGAGGAGUGAGCUGCGACGCGCAUACAGGUUCCUCCAGACGCUGCAGUGACCCAGCUACCCGGCCAGAAAGAACAGCCC
Lynx canadensis (Canada lynx) is the source of this 407-nucleotide long non-coding RNA. RefSeq lists it as uncharacterized. The record is from RefSeq and is a predicted model, not a curated record. The transcript has 3 exons. NCBI's taxonomy places the organism in Eukaryota, Metazoa, Chordata, Mammalia, Carnivora, Felidae.